CCUACGGGUGGCAGCAGUCGAGAAUCAUUCACAAUGGGGGAAACCCUGAUGGUGCGACGCCGCGUGGGGGAAUGAAGGUCUUAGGAUUGUAAACCCCUGUCAUGUGGGAGCAAAUUAAAAAGAUAGUACCACAAGAGGAAGAGACGGCUAACUCUGUGUCAGCAGCCGCGGUAAUACAGAGGUCUCCAGCGUUGUUCGGACUCACUGCGCGUAACGCGUGCGGAGGCUGUUUCGUAAGUCGUGUGUGAAAGGCGCGGGCUCAACCCGCGGACGGCACAUGAUACUGCGAGACUAGAGUAAUGGAGGGGGAACCGGAAUUCUCGGUGUAGCAGUGAAAUGCGUAGAUAUCGAGAGGAACACUCGUGGCGAAGGCGGGUUCCUGGACAUUAACUGACGCUGAGGCACGAAGGCCAGGGGAGCGAAAGGGAUUAGAUACCCCGGUAGUC
RNAcentral lists this ribosomal RNA (446 nucleotides) under uncultured bacterium. RNAcentral describes it as "partial 16S ribosomal RNA". It matches the Rfam family "Bacterial small subunit ribosomal RNA", at positions 338 to 795 of the family's 1533-position model. The record is from RNAcentral.